Molecule: ribosomal RNA, 53 nt
Filed under: Penicillium sp. EC/2/3
Lineage: Eukaryota; Fungi; Ascomycota; Eurotiomycetes; Eurotiales; Aspergillaceae
Description: partial 28S ribosomal RNA
Source: RNAcentral
UUUGACCCUCGGGAUCAGGUAGGAGUUACCCGCUGAACUUAAGCAUAUCAAAA